UGUACCUAUGUUAUUUUGUUAACAUGGCCACCAUCUCUCAAAUUAAAAAAAAAUAUUAACAUGACCGCUAAUCCACUAAUCCUGUUCAAUGGGAUUUGAUUGAUUCAAACAUUUCAAUUGGCAAUUAUUUUUUUUGUUUUCGUUUUUCAGAAAAAGGAGCAAGGCUCCAUCAAAUUUUAUCAAGAAAAUGGAGGUUACAAAAUAACAUCCCAAG
RNAcentral lists this long non-coding RNA (214 nucleotides) under Elaeis guineensis (African oil palm). RNAcentral describes it as "long non-coding RNA (EGUI_LNC006677)". Lineage: Eukaryota; Viridiplantae; Streptophyta; Magnoliopsida; Arecales; Arecaceae. The record is from RNAcentral.